CCCAGUCUUUGCCACGGUAGGACGGCUUCCAGAGAUGGAUUUCCCCCUUGGGGGGACCGACACCCGGUGGUGCAAGGGCGUUGUUCAGUUGGGUUGGGAGGUUGUUGGGUUAAUCCCGCCAAGAGGGCCAACCCUGGCCUUAGUUUCCCUCCUUUAGGUGGGCUCUUUAAAAGGAAUCCCGGGGGCUAACCGGGAGGAAGGUGGGGAUGACGUCAAGUCUUCAUGGCCCUUACACGAUGGGCUACACACGUGUUCCAAUGGCGAUUCCAGUGGGCAGCAAUUCCGGGAGGGUGAGCUAAUCUCCAAAAGUUGUCUCAGUUCGGAUUGUUCUCUGCAACUCGAGAGCAUGAAGGCGGAAUCGCUAGUAAUCGCGGAUCAGCAUGCCGCGGUGAAUACGUUCCCAGGCCUUGUACACACCGCCCGUCACACCAUGGGAAUUGGAUUCUUCCGAAGGUGUCUCACCUAAACGCAAGGAAGGCCAAGGCCAACCCAUUUUGUUUC
Molecule: ribosomal RNA, 501 nt
Filed under: Sphingomonas sp.
Lineage: Bacteria; Pseudomonadati; Pseudomonadota; Alphaproteobacteria; Sphingomonadales; Sphingomonadaceae
Description: bacterial SSU rRNA
Rfam family: Bacterial small subunit ribosomal RNA
Source: RNAcentral